Podarcis muralis (Common wall lizard) is the source of this 951-nucleotide non-coding RNA. The record is from RefSeq and is a predicted model, not a curated record. Lineage: Eukaryota; Metazoa; Chordata; Lepidosauria; Squamata; Lacertidae.
ACCAGUCUGUAGGGAGAGGUCUCCAUCGUGGCAGACGCUAGGAUUCUUCAGAGGGGCCGCCUUGGCUUCUCCCUCCCGCCAAGGAAUCGGCCAUCCCUUCAAGGCGACCAGAGGGGGAUCUGUCGAAAGUGGGGGGUCCAGUCCCCCCACCCCUCCCUUCCUGCAAGCUCCAUCCUCUUCCCACCCCAUAAGCCCCUGCCCUGUCCAGACGCAGCAGUUCAAAUCCCGAGAGGAAGAGGGGAGGGGAGAGCCCUUUCAAAAGCCAUUCUCUGUUUCUACAAUCCUACCCAGGAAGCAGACAGAAACCUUUUCCUCUCUCUCUGGCUUCCAUCUUUGUCUUUUCCACUGCCUGGUUCAUUCAGGAUGAGGAUAAUGUACACCUGUCAUCAGAAACAGGGGCGCAGAGUCAAUGGAAUGGCUCUCAGGCUUGAUAUGGAAGUCAAAAGCACUUCUGUUCCUCUUAUUCUUUGUAGGCAGUGUCAGAGUGACUGACAAGCUGAGAUUCUUCCCAGUCAAAGGACCCAUUUUCAUGAUAGACAGUGUCUGUGGCUGGAGGCUCUACAUACAAGGUGUGCCUACACAGGCCAAAGAGUGCCAGUAUUAGCACAGAAUUCCCCAGCCCACCAAGGAUUUGGGACCCAUCAGGUAUCCUCACCUGGUUUAGCCGGCCGGUUGAAACUGUUCCUGGGAUUGUGGCCCUUUUGAAUGCUGACAGCUUCUCUCAGGAUUUCCUUUCCUCCCACUUUGAAGAAGGGGAUGGAGAAGACAUUCAGAAUUCUGAGGGAUGGGGCACUUUGGUUUCAUUAGGUAUAGACAUUUAAAUGUGUGAAAUGUGGAAUAUGCUUCACUGAAUGAGCACACAUAGCUCACAUCAACGACCUCCAACAGGGGAGAAACCAUUGAAAGGUAUGGAGUGUGGGCAAAGUUUCACUGAUAGUGGAAAACUUAGAA